Molecule: ribosomal RNA, 117 nt
Filed under: Atractosteus spatula (alligator gar)
Lineage: Eukaryota; Metazoa; Chordata; Actinopteri; Semionotiformes; Lepisosteidae
Also listed under: 1 other name
Source: RNAcentral
CACAGCAGCACUGCCAGCCUCUGGCCUGAUCUCAUGAGAUCUCAGAAGCUAAGCAAGGCAGGACCCAGGAAGUAGUGGGAUGAGAGACUUCCAAGGAAAACCAGGUUGCUGCUGUAA